RNAcentral lists this ribosomal RNA (269 nucleotides) under uncultured bacterium. RNAcentral's name for it is "partial 16S ribosomal RNA". It matches the Rfam family "Bacterial small subunit ribosomal RNA", at positions 88 to 354 of the family's 1533-position model. The record is from RNAcentral.
CCGGCGACCGGCGCACGGGUGAGUAACACGUAUGCAACCUGGCCGUGACAGAUGGAUAACCGGGAGAAAUCCCGCCUAAUACAACAUAAUGCCGGGAGGGGACAUCCCCUGCCGGUCAAAGGGGGCGACCCCGGUCAUGGAUGGGCAUGCGGCGCAUUAGGUAGUUGGUGGGGCAACGGCCCACCAAGCCGACGAUGCGUAGGGGUUCUGAGAGGAAGGUCCCCACAUUGGAACUGAGACACGGUCCAAACUCCUACGGGAGGCAGCAG